This 429-nucleotide ribosomal RNA is filed under the name Chloroflexota bacterium. RNAcentral's name for it is "Chloroflexi bacterium partial 16S ribosomal RNA". It matches the Rfam family "Bacterial small subunit ribosomal RNA", at positions 355 to 776 of the family's 1533-position model. The record is from RNAcentral. Lineage: Bacteria; Bacillati; Chloroflexota.
UGGGGAAUAUUGCACAAUGGGCGCAAGCCUGAUGCAGCCAUGCCGCGUGUAUGAAGAAGGCCUUCGGGUUGUAAAGUACUUUCAGCGGGGAGGAAGGGAGUAAAGUUAAUACCUUUGCUCAUUGACGUUACCCGCAGAAGAAGCACCGGCUAACUCCGUGCCAGCAGCCGCGGUAAUACGGAGGGUGCAAGCGUUAAUCGGAAUUACUGGGCGUAAAGCGCACGCAGGCGGUCUGUCAAGUCGGAUGUGAAAUCCCCGGGCUCAACCUGGGAACUGGAUUCGAAACUGGCAGGCUAGAGUCUUGUAGAGGGGGGUAGAAUUCCAGGUGUAGCGGUGAAAUGCGUAGAGAUCUGGAGGAAUACCGGUGGCGAAGGCGGCCCCCUGGACAAAGACUGACGCUCAGGUGCGAAAGCGUGGGGAGCAAACAGG